This 370-nucleotide ribosomal RNA is filed under the name uncultured bacterium. Its description in RNAcentral is "bacterial SSU rRNA". It matches the Rfam family "Bacterial small subunit ribosomal RNA", at positions 44 to 404 of the family's 1533-position model. The record is from RNAcentral.
GUGCCUAAUACAUGCAAGUCGAGCGAAUCUUUAGGAGCUUGCUCCUGAAGGUUAGCGGCGGACGGGUGAGUAACACGUGGGCAACCUGCCUGUAAGACUGGGAUAACUUCGGGAAACCGGAGCUAAUACCGGAUAAUCCUUUUCGACACAUGUCGGAGAGCUGAAAGUCGGUGCAAGCUGACACUUACAGAUGGGCCCGCGGCGCAUUAGCUAGUUGGUGAGGUAAUGGCUCACCAAGGCGACGAUGCGUAGCCGACCUGAGAGGGUGAUCGGCCACACUGGGACUGAGACACGGCCCAGACUCCUACGGGAGGCAGCAGUAGGGAAUCUUCCGCAAUGGACGAAAGUCUGACGGAGCAACGCCGCGUGA